AGAGGUAUCUCUUUCAGUUUUAAGGAUUCCAAGUUCUUUCUGUACUCUCAAACUCUCCUCCUCCCACCACUUUUGAAACUCCUCUUCCUGUUGUAUCUCCUCAAUUGUUUUUCUAAAAGAUGAUCUCCUCUUUUGACUCUCAAUUUCUUCUUUCUGCUCAGUCAUAAUCUCCGAAAUCGAUAAAGGUUGGCUAUUUUUUGGUAAAGAAGCAGAUCGGGGAGAUGGUUUAGUAAGUAGGUUCCAACUAGUUGGAGAACCAUUGGAAAUGCGCUUCUUCGAUUCUUGAUAAAUUACUUGAGAUGAACCUUCCUCUCGAGCUGCCUCUCUAAGAAUACCAUUAAAUGACUUUUUCACUCCAGUUGAUGACGAAAAACUGCCCCUCUGAUGUGUUGCUACAGACCAAGGGUUUGAGUGAUUCGAUUUACCCAACUCGAUAUCGAUGUGGCCAACAUUUGUUUUGGAAAUAGGCACUUGCUUUGAAAGCUCCUUUUUUUUCUCACGUUGGGAUUUUUUAGUUGGAGCUUUCAUAAAUCUAGAAUCAGACAAAACCGUAGUAGUUGAAGCAUCAGCUUUCUCUUGCUCCAGCAAUUCUCUAAGACUAGCUCUAGUAGUGUUGUUAUUAUGAGAAAGAUUUUCCCUAUUCCUCCAUGGACUCGUUUUGUCAAAAGUAAUUGUUGCAGUAACAGGUUGAUCAGC
This is a non-coding RNA of Schizosaccharomyces pombe (fission yeast), 696 nucleotides long. NCBI's taxonomy places the organism in Eukaryota, Fungi, Ascomycota, Schizosaccharomycetes, Schizosaccharomycetales, Schizosaccharomycetaceae. The record is from the annotation of a GenBank genome assembly.